Long non-coding RNA from Zalophus californianus (California sea lion), 578 nucleotides. RefSeq lists it as uncharacterized. The transcript has 5 exons. NCBI's taxonomy places the organism in Eukaryota, Metazoa, Chordata, Mammalia, Carnivora, Otariidae. The record is from RefSeq and is a predicted model, not a curated record.
GAAAAAACAAGGGUGGGGUGAACAGUGUCAAUGAGCACUGGAUGGAGUAAGGAGACAGGUAUUCAAAAUAAUCCACUGGUUUUGGCAAAUUAGCUAGCUGGUCAAAUUUUCACAGUACCAGGAUAUAAGUCAAGUGUGUCAUCUUGUAAUUAAAUGAAGAAAGUGUGACCUGUUCCAAUGAUGGAAGUGUCAACAUUGCAACUUCCUUAAGGAUUUCCAAAGGGUAAACUUCAUACUCCACAAAAUUUAAUCGCACAGCACGAAGUCACGUGGGCUUUCUGAAAUGGCUAAAGACUUGCUGUGUUCACUGAUGAAUCUCCAGUGCCAAAAACAGUGCCUGGCACACAUGUAGGUGCUCAGUUAUCAUUUUCAUUCUGAAGCUGUUUUGCAUCCAACAUGGGAAGGCGAAUUCCAUCUUCAAGGCAUCUUUCUACUUUUUGCUGCAAGCUGUAUGUUUUAGAAAGACAAUUAAAGACAAUCCACUCUGUGUGCUGAUUUUGGUAGAUGACUUCAACAUAAAUGAAGUCCCUUCUUAGGGUCAACAGUAUUUUUUAAUCAGACAAUAAUCGAGACCUACU